CGGGACGGGUGAGUAACGCGUGGGUAACCUGCCUCAUACAGGGGGAUAACAGUUAGAAAUGACUGCUAAAACCGCAUAAGCGCACAAGACCGCAUGGUUUGGUGUGAAAAACUCCGGUGGUAUGAGAUGGACCCGCGUCUGAUUAGCUAGUUGGAGAGGUAGCGGCUCACCAAGGCGACGAUCAGUAGCCGACCUGAGAGGGUGACCGGCCACAUUGGGACUGAGACACGGCCCAAACUCCUACGGAAGGCAGCAG
RNAcentral lists this ribosomal RNA (256 nucleotides) under uncultured bacterium. RNAcentral describes it as "partial 16S ribosomal RNA". It matches the Rfam family "Bacterial small subunit ribosomal RNA", at positions 98 to 354 of the family's 1533-position model. The record is from RNAcentral.